GGGCCUGUGGCUCAGCCAGGUAGAGAGUUGUCCUAUAGCGGCUGGCUCUUAACCAGUAGGCCGUGGGUUCAAAUCCCACCAGGCCCGCCA
This 90-nucleotide transfer RNA is filed under the name Nitrososphaerales archaeon. Its description in RNAcentral is "tRNA-Lys". It matches the Rfam family "tRNA". From Rfam's summary of the family: Transfer RNA (tRNA) molecules are approximately 80 nucleotides in length. Their secondary structure includes four short double-helical elements and three loops (D, anti-codon, and T loops). Lineage: Archaea; Thermoproteati; Nitrososphaerota; Nitrososphaeria; Nitrososphaerales. The record is from RNAcentral.